GGGUCGUUAGCUCAGUUGGCAGAGCAGUUGGCUUUUAACCAAUUGGUCGUAGGUUCGAAUCCCACACGACCCAC
This 74-nucleotide transfer RNA is filed under the name Candidatus Pseudomonas adelgestsugas. RNAcentral's name for it is "tRNA-Lys". It matches the Rfam family "tRNA". From Rfam's summary of the family: Transfer RNA (tRNA) molecules are approximately 80 nucleotides in length. The record is from RNAcentral. Lineage: Bacteria; Pseudomonadati; Pseudomonadota; Gammaproteobacteria; Pseudomonadales; Pseudomonadaceae.